This 497-nucleotide ribosomal RNA is filed under the name uncultured bacterium. RNAcentral describes it as "partial 16S ribosomal RNA". It matches the Rfam family "Bacterial small subunit ribosomal RNA", at positions 28 to 507 of the family's 1533-position model. The record is from RNAcentral.
GAUGAACGCUGGCGGCGUGCCUAAUACAUGCAAGUCGAGCGAACGGACGAGAAGCUUGCUUUUCUGAUGUUAGCGGCGGACGGGUGAGUAACACGUGGAUAACCUACCUAUAAGACUGGGAUAACUUCGGGAAACCGGAGCUAAUACCGGAUAAUAUUUUGAACCGCAUGGUUCAAAAGUGAAAGACGGUCUUGCUGUCACUUAUAGAUGGAUCCGCGCUGCAUUAGCUAGUUGGUAAGGUAACGGCUUACCAAGGCAACGAUGCAUAGCCGACCUGAGAGGGUGAUCAGCCACACUGGAACUGAGACACGGUCCAGACUCCUACGGGAGGCAGCAGUAGGGAAUCUUCCGCAAUGGGCGAAAGCCUGACGGGGCAACGCCGCGUGAGUGAUGAAGGUCUUCGGAUCGUAAAACUCUGUUAUUAGGGAAGAACAUAUGUGUAAGUAACUGUGCACAUCUUGACGGUACCUAAUCAGAAAGCCACGGCUAACUACGUG